Molecule: ribosomal RNA, 554 nt
Filed under: Streptomyces globisporus
Lineage: Bacteria; Bacillati; Actinomycetota; Actinomycetes; Kitasatosporales; Streptomycetaceae
Description: bacterial SSU rRNA
Rfam family: Bacterial small subunit ribosomal RNA
Source: RNAcentral
UCUGCCCUUCACUCUGGGACAAGCCCUGGAAACGGGGUCUAAUACCGGAUAACACUCUGUCCCGCAUGGGACGGGGUUGAAAGCUCCGGCGGUGAAGGAUGAGCCCGCGGCCUAUCAGCUUGUUGGUGGGGUAAUGGCCUACCAAGGCGACGACGGGUAGCCGGCCUGAGAGGGCGACCGGCCACACUGGGACUGAGACACGGCCCAGACUCCUACGGGAGGCAGCAGUGGGGAAUAUUGCACAAUGGGCGAAAGCCUGAUGCAGCGACGCCGCGUGAGGGAUGACGGCCUUCGGGUUGUAAACCUCUUUCAGCAGGGAAGAAGCGAAAGUGACGGUACCUGCAGAAGAAGCGCCGGCUAACUACGUGCCAGCAGCCGCGGUAAUACGUAGGGCGCAAGCGUUGUCCGGAAUUAUUGGGCGUAAAGAGCUCGUAGGCGGCUUGUCACGUCGGAUGUGAAAGCCCGGGGCUUAACCCCGGGUCUGCAUUCGAUACGGGCUAGCUAGAGUGUGGUAGGGGAGAUCGGAAUUCCUGGUGUAGCGGUGAAAUGCGCAG